CCUACGGGUGGCUGCAGUAAGGAAUAUUGGUCAAUGGACGAAAGUCUGAACCAGCCAUGCCGCGUGAAGGAUGACGGCCCUCUGGGUUGUAAACUUCUUUUAUCUGGGACGAAAAAAGAUCAUUCCUGAUCACUUGACGGUACCAGAGGAAUAAGCACCGGCUAACUCCGUGCCAGCAGCCGCGGUAAUACGGAGGGUGCAAGCGUUAUCCGGAUUUACUGGGUUUAAAGGGUGCGUAGGUGGGUCUGUAAGUCAGUGGUGAAAUCUUCGAGCUU
This 275-nucleotide ribosomal RNA is filed under the name uncultured bacterium. RNAcentral describes it as "partial 16S ribosomal RNA". It matches the Rfam family "Bacterial small subunit ribosomal RNA", at positions 338 to 610 of the family's 1533-position model. The record is from RNAcentral.